RNAcentral lists this ribosomal RNA (437 nucleotides) under Agrobacterium tumefaciens. Its description in RNAcentral is "bacterial SSU rRNA". It matches the Rfam family "Bacterial small subunit ribosomal RNA", at positions 958 to 1392 of the family's 1533-position model. The record is from RNAcentral. RNAcentral also lists the same sequence under 1 other name. Lineage: Bacteria; Pseudomonadati; Pseudomonadota; Alphaproteobacteria; Hyphomicrobiales; Rhizobiaceae.
AACGCGAAGAACCUUACCAGCUUUUGACAUGUCCGGUUUGAUCGGCAGAGAUGCCUUUCUUCAGUUCGGCUGGCCGGAACACAGGUGCUGCAUGGCUGUCGUCAGCUCGUGUCGUGAGAUGUUGGGUUAAGUCCCGCAACGAGCGCAACCCUCGCCCCUAGUUGCCAUCAUUAAGUUGGGAACUCUAGGGGGACUGCCGGUGAUAAGCCGCGAGGAAGGUGGGGAUGACGUCAAGUCCUCAUGGCCCUUACAGGCUGGGCUACACACGUGCUACAAUGGCGGUGACAAUGGGCAGCGAAAGGGCGACCUCGAGCUAAUCCCAAAAAGCCGUCUCAGUUCAGAUUGCACUCUGCAACUCGAGUGCAUGAAGGUGGAAUCGCUAGUAAUCGUGGAUCAGCAUGCCACGGUGAAUACGUUCCCGGGCCUUGUACACACCG